UCAGAAAAAAAUUAGUUUUAUUCCUUUUUGGAAUGGAAAUUUGGAAAUCAUGGAAUUUCACACUCAAUAUUAUUUGACCUUUCUACAGCAAGCAAAAAAUUCUACAGAGGCUGACUGAACUUCUCACCAAAAAGAAAAGGUCUGCUCCUGGAUCCCUGUCCUCGGGUCGAGUCUGCUGAGGAAGUGGUAUCUUGUUGAAGUCAACUGAACUGCUCACAGGAAGAGGGGCUGUGUGGCUGGAAGAUGGGCUGGGCUGCAUGAUUUGGCUGGAAGGGCCCAUUGUGAAGAAGCCUGUCCCAGAAGGGGAAGCUUAGCUGUGGAGCACAAGGACCCAGAGAAGGUAC
This is a long non-coding RNA of Mauremys mutica (yellowpond turtle), 344 nucleotides long. RefSeq lists it as uncharacterized. NCBI's taxonomy places the organism in Eukaryota, Metazoa, Chordata, Testudines, Geoemydidae. The record is from RefSeq and is a predicted model, not a curated record. The transcript is spliced from 3 exons.